RNAcentral lists this long non-coding RNA (572 nucleotides) under Homo sapiens (human). Its description in RNAcentral is "HSALNT0379607". Lineage: Eukaryota; Metazoa; Chordata; Mammalia; Primates; Hominidae. The record is from RNAcentral.
GAUCAAGAACCGACCAAUUCCAGACACAGUAGUACGGCAAGGCCCGCCUGAGCUUGUCGUAAUUCACGUUGGUCUUGUUCUUGCGUCGCCCCCACGGCUAGGCCACCUUCCUCUGCAACCACCACCAUCCCAUGAAGUCCAGGAGCUGUGGCCGUUGCCUUGCUCUCAGCUGCAGCAGAAAGUGCCAGAGCGUCACAGGGUGGACUGACAAAGAUUCUCUGCUUGGCCAAACUACAGUCGGGCUCUGGAACCUUCUCCUAGGCCAGCCUGCACUUCCUUGAGGCGCCAGCAGCCAGCGUGCGGAGUUAAGUGCCUGUGCCCUUUGUAUGAAAGUGUCACCGUUGUCCUGGUCUUGAGGGGUGGCUUUCGGGUGUAAACGGCCGGCAGAGGUGAGUAGAUGCUGGGAGGCUGCUCCAGGCGUCUUGUUUGCUCCAGGGUUCUUGAGACUCUCCUGUCUAUGAGAACGUGCAGUGGCACGGGACGGCCGCCGGGGGGCUCCCGAGUCCGGCUCUGGAGUCUGUGGCCGCGCGAGUGCACCUGCCUGGGCCGGCCCUGACGGAUUUUUUUUUUUU